UUGAACGCUAGCGGGAUGCUUUACACAUGCAAGUCGAACGGCAGCGCGGACUUCGGUCUGGCGGCGAGUGCGAACGGGUGAGUAAUGUAUCGGAACGUGCCCAGUAGCGGGGGAUAACUACGCGAAAGCGUAGCUAAUACCGCAUACGCCCUACGGGGGAAAGCAGGGGAUCGUAAGACCUUGCACUAUUGGAGCGGCCGAUAUCGGAUUAGCUAGUUGGUGAGGUAACGGCUCACCAAGGCGACGAUCCGUAGCUGGUUUGAGAGGACGACCAGCCACACUGGGACUGAGACACGGCCCAGACUCCUACGGGAGGCAGCAGUGGGGAAUUUUGGACAAUGGGGGCAACCCUGAUCCAGCCAUCCCGCGUGUGCGAUGAAGGCCUUCGGGUUGUAAAGCACUUUUGGCAGGAAAGAAACGUCGCGGGCUAAUACCCCGUGGAACUGACGGUACCUGCAGAAUAAGCACCGGCUAACUACGUG
This 482-nucleotide ribosomal RNA is filed under the name uncultured bacterium. Its description in RNAcentral is "partial 16S ribosomal RNA". It matches the Rfam family "Bacterial small subunit ribosomal RNA", at positions 30 to 507 of the family's 1533-position model. The record is from RNAcentral.